This 478-nucleotide ribosomal RNA is filed under the name uncultured bacterium. RNAcentral describes it as "partial 16S ribosomal RNA". It matches the Rfam family "Bacterial small subunit ribosomal RNA", at positions 28 to 507 of the family's 1533-position model. The record is from RNAcentral.
GAUGAACGCUAGCGGCAGGCCUAACACAUGCAAGUCGAGGGAGAAGCCCUUUCGGGGGCAGAAACCGGCGCACGGGUGCGUAACGCGUAUGCAACCUACCUUUCACAGGGGGAUAGCCCGAAGAAAUUUGGAUUAAUACCCCAUAAUAUUAUUGGAUGGCAUCAUUUGAUAAUUAAAACUGCGGUGGUGAAAGAUGGGCAUGCGUCCUAUUAGCUAGUUGGAGUGGUAACGGCACCCCAAGGCUACGAUAGGUAGGGGUCCUGAGAGGGAGAUCCCCCACACUGGUACUGAGACAGGGACCAGACUCCUACGGGAGGCAGCAGUGAGGAAUAUUGGUCAAUGGUCGGAAGACUGAACCAGCCAUGCCGCGUGCAGGAAGAAUGCCUUAUGGGUUGUAAACUGCUUUUAUAUGGGAAGAAUAAGGCGUACGUGUACGUUGAUGACGGUACCUUAUGAAUAAGCAUCGGCUAACUCCGUG